This 243-nucleotide long non-coding RNA is filed under the name Sorghum bicolor (sorghum). RNAcentral's name for it is "long non-coding RNA (SBIC_LNC002576)". Lineage: Eukaryota; Viridiplantae; Streptophyta; Magnoliopsida; Poales; Poaceae. The record is from RNAcentral.
AUGACCACCAAAUUGUGAAAGAAGGUUGUGUCCUGGAUCUGAUGCACCAUGGUAGAUUGGAGAGAGUAACAAUCUGCGUAGGAAAAUUGGAUGGCGUUGGCAUGGAGUCGUGGAGGCUGGCUAAGUUGGAAUUCAUGAUGAGCUACAACUUCGAUGAGCUUAGUUAUUUUGGAUACCUAUGGUUGGGAACUGAAUUAACCAAAGUAAGGCCUUGUUUAGUUCACCCCAACUAGCUUUCGCCAC